CCAAGAGGGCACACUACACAGAUGGGAAAAGUGGACCAAAACAGAGAUGGAACUUCUACUGGCUCAGCCCCUGUGACUCAACAGUCAUGGCUACACUUUGGGGGAAGGAGUAUUAGGGUCAUUCUGCACCUUCCCCAUAAGCCCCCUAAUGACACAACAAUCCUUGCUCUUUGAGACUCAAGAGACUUUUUCUUAGGAUUCAGAAACAAAAUUGAGUGGAAGUGUGUGGGGAGGUAUGUGGGAAGGAGGAGGUUUUAUAAGAUUUACAGGCAAAAUGGUCAUCUGAUCCACCCCCAGCCCUGUUUGAGAAAUGAGGACAGAGGCUCAAAGUCGAUGAGUAACCAGCCCCAAAAUCCCAUGCCAGAGACAGAAUUUGGAAUCUCCUAACUCGUCACCUAGGGAGGAGCAGAGUCAGGCAUCCUUGCACUUUUGUUUAAGGGUUUGGGUUUGAGGCCAAGGACAAGAAGGGUUCCUGUGGACUAUUGGUUAGUACACUGUUGUCCCAGAUGGAGCCAGGGUCUUUGGAGGCUGAGGUGGGGAAAGACUCAGUGGAUCUAACCCCACAGGUGAAGAAAGAACUUUUGGCCUCUUGCACUACCCAACAGGCUCAGGCAAGGCCUUAUGGAGGAGACAAGCCCCAGAGGUGAGGGCUGGGGAUUUGAUGUAUGGGAGUGGAGCGGGGGGAAGGGAGAGUAGGCUUCAGAAAGAUGGGGAGGGACUUUGCUUCCCCAGAUUCCUGUCCUAGAGUGGGAAGACUAGCAGUAUUUGGGGGCUGACUGAUGGUGGACCCCGGGACUAAAAAAAAUCUAUUUGGAGGUGUAGUAGGGGAUAGGAGGGGGGUGAAAAUGGAAAAGCAUUCACUUACAGUAAGGGUGUACUUGGGUAUCAGGAUUGAUGGCCCUCUUGCCAAUAGGAGACGAGACCUCUCUAGCCUCUUUUCACCAGUGGACAUCCCUGCCGAGUAUGAGCAUCCUCUGACCGCUAGGCAGGUGGCAGCCUUCCAGGAUGUCUUCCAACUGUUUAAACCGGGCUCCCAGGGCAAGCUGGACAUGAGGAGCAUGAAGGGGGCACUACCGACUGUUGGCAUCCAGCUGAGCCCCCAGGAAGUGUGUGAGGCCCUGCGGCGGGCUGACCUGGAUGGUACGUCUGCCCACAGGGCUCUACACAAAAUCCAGCCCCCAGAGUCCGGUCUCCCAUUAUACUCUCACCUUAACUUUUUCUUCCCUUCCCCUCGCCCACUAAAUUAAUCCUUCCCUGCUUUCAGGUGUUCCUGCGGAAAACUUUUCCUAAGUAUCCCUGUCCUCCCCCACUGUCAUCUUAUCUUUCUUCUAUUACCCCCACAAACUUGUAGGCCACAGAAGGGUGUAGUAAUAGGUGCUUACACGCUUAUUGAUUGAUUUCACUCAAUGAACUAUGGCAUAGGAAAUGUUACAUUUUACUGUUGCUUUAUGCCUGGAGGCUGUUGUUUGGUCCCUGGGUGGGGACCCUGAGCCUCCCUUCCGAGGAUGGAUGAUCCCCCUCCCUUUCCCUUCCCCUCCCCAGGGGCAAUACGGCAUUUCUGUUUUAGUGUGAUUCUCUCAGAGCCUAGUACAAACCCAUACCCUGGGUGUACCAACUCUUUCCCUGCUCCAAACAUACACACACUCCUGAGCAAACACAGGUACAUGAUUUCUCUUCUUCUAAGGUGAUGGAGCUGUUGACUUUGAGGACUUCCUUGGGAUCCUGACAGACAAUCAUCGCUUUGCCCAAUGCAUGGGUGAGGAAGCAUUUUUUUUAUGGGUCGUGGGGUCCAGGAAAGGAAAAACUAAAACUUGCCACACUCCCAAAUACUUAAAAAAAGCAAACCUCACUAGUCCCUAAAAAUAUUGUCCUGUAUUUCUGUCUGUCACAGCUCGACUCCUAGAAAGAGCUGCCUACAACUCCAUACCUCCACUUUCUCUCCUCACUUGUAGUCACCUGGCCUCUGAGCUCACUCAGCCAAAGCAGCUGUCUCUCCAAGAGGACUCUAGUGAUCCCCUUAAUUGCCAAAUCUGAUGGAUUUUUCUGAGUCUUCAGUUUCUUCCGAAUUUUGACCCUGUUGACCAUCCUCUCUGCCUGAAUCCCCUUUCUCCUUUGGAUUUUUUGUGACCAGUCUCUUUGGUUCUCUUCCCACCUGUGACAACUCCUCAGUCUCCUUCACUGGAUCUUCUGUAUCCUCCCCACGAAUCCAGAGUGUUCUUUGGGGCUCUGUCCUGGACCAUCCUCUCUCUUCUGCUUGCUUCUCUCCCUAUGCCUUUCCCUCCUCUCUCUGUCUCUGUUCCUGUCUCUAGCUCUAUUUCCUCUCCCAUUGGGUUUAAUUAUUACUUCCAAAUCUAUAUAUCCACCCCUAGUCAUUCUCUGGAGCUCCAGUCCCAUAUUUCCAACUGCCUAUGGGUCCCACAGGCAUCUCAAACUCAACAUGUCCAAAACUCCCCAUCCCUUCCCCACACCCCUACUUUUGUUGAGAGCACCACCCCCCAUGUUUAGACACUUCAUAGUCAUCCUAGACUCCUCCUUCUCCCUCCCCCCACAUAUCUACCCGGUUGGCACAACCAUCAGCAGAGCAUCUCUCAAAUCCAUCCCCUUUCUCUCACCACUCACCUGGUCAUCACUGUGUAGUUCAUGCCUUUAUCAACUCUUGCCUAAAAGAUUCGAAUGUAAUUUCCCUGCCUCAAGUCUCUCCCCUUGCCGAUCCAUCCUCCAUAAAACUGCCCAAGUGAUGCUCCUAAGACACCCAUUUGAUCAUGUCACUUCCCUGCUGAAAGAGCUAUGAGUUUCCUGUUACCUCUGGAUUCAAGUAGAAAACACCUGUUACAGCCUUUCAACCUUUCAGACUGGGGUUCAGCUGAAGAAGCUUUCUUGCUGCUGUUCAUAUAAUAUUCUAUCUCUUACCUUUUCACAUGCUCUCUCUCCUACCCCCACAACUCCUCCAUGCUUAAAAUACACUCCUUUACCUCCAUCUCUUAGAAUAAACUUAUUUCCAUCAUAACUCA
This 3011-nucleotide long non-coding RNA is filed under the name Vombatus ursinus (common wombat). RNAcentral's name for it is "lncRNA (ENSVURG00010009005.1)". The record is from RNAcentral. Lineage: Eukaryota; Metazoa; Chordata; Mammalia; Diprotodontia; Vombatidae.